RNAcentral lists this long non-coding RNA (331 nucleotides) under Mytilus galloprovincialis (Mediterranean mussel). Lineage: Eukaryota; Metazoa; Mollusca; Bivalvia; Mytilida; Mytilidae. The record is from RNAcentral.
UUUUUUUCUCUCUGUUUGUUAUGAUUUAACAAAUAUGGCUGCUCAUUAAAUGCCGUGUUUUGAAGCCGAGUUUUACCGAUUGUCACCUUAUAGUAAACAAAUCACAAAAAGCAUGGGUAAUGAGCACGUGUUUAACAUGUAUAUUCAGAUAUUUGUUUAUUUCAAUAACAGAUCCAUGCGUAUUGUGGUCACCGGAUUUUUACGAGGAGGGUUACGCUCGUAUCACUAUGCAUACGGAAAAUAUGUCGGCGAAUUGCUUCCUGGAAGCAAGCAAUUAAAAAUAAGUAAACUUCUUCUAAAUGUGGACAAAUUAAAGAAUUUUCAUCAGAAA